Vigna unguiculata (cowpea) is the source of this 1882-nucleotide long non-coding RNA. The record is from RefSeq and is a predicted model, not a curated record. NCBI's taxonomy places the organism in Eukaryota, Viridiplantae, Streptophyta, Magnoliopsida, Fabales, Fabaceae.
UUGAACUUCAUCUCCUUAAAUAGGGCCAUACAAUUUAACCAUCUAUUCAAAAGCCUCCAAGGAACAAUAGUAAAAUUAGUAAAUGCCAUUAAGAGUAUUUAGCUAAUAGUUUAAUUCUAUACUUAAGUUAAAAGGAAUAUGUUAUUAAAAGUUGGCCACUAGAGCUCAUAGGGACAAGGUUAUAAACCCUAACGCACUCAGAUUCUCACAUUUUAAAUUAAUGGGAGACAGAAGGAAAGAGAGAAAUGAAAGGAGAAGACAAAAGAAAAAGAGUAGAGGCAAGGAGAGGAGAGAAGGAACUAGGCACCCCUUGGUUGUUAGUCAGUUAUCUCCAGGGGACUGCAGCCACUUAUGUGUUUCUUCUUCCCUGUAAUUGUAUGAAUUGUAUUGUGUGUCUCCUAAACAUGUUUCCCCCUUCACCAUGAUAGUUUAUCUACUUGUAGUGAGAUUUGAAAGAAUCUGCCAUGACUAGUGUUCAAUAGAGAUUUCAUAUAUUAAUUGCAAGAUAAUGUCCGAUUGAAGGAUUGGGAAAGAGAUUUUGAUGGGGUAUAUGUUUUGCAUUGUUUUAUGUGUUCAAUAUUAUGAGUUGGGUGGUUAGGAAGCCAUUGAUAACAUUUGAGGAUAGAAGCUGAAGAUACAGAGUUUGUCAGAGUUCAUGGGCAUGAAAAUUGCCCCCAAUAUUCAAGAUAAAGUGUCACUCAAUGUUCAAAAUACAGUAAUACCCACGAUCACAAGGAUGUUUCGGUAUGAACUUGCAGCACGUUAUACUCAAAUAGAAGGUACAGCACAUGAAGGGUAAAGAUUGAGUAAGGAUUCCUGAAUCAAAAACAUAAUUUAUCAACAUGCAAACACACAUAUAUUAACAAAACAGUGUUAUUAUGACAAAAGAAAAUAGAAUAUUUGUUGGAUUUCACCUUUGAUUAUUAGCAAAUGAUGAAGAACAUAGUUUUCAAAGCCAUUUAAUUUAAGAAUCAUCUUGAUAGUUUUAGAUAGAAAUAACAUGCAAAAAACACAUGGCAGCUGAGACAAAAAGUAAUCCAUCCCUGUAGAGAUUGCAAGAUAUCCUUAAAAUAGCUCAAUAACUUUGUUAGGAGUCUCAACAUUGGAUAGGAUAAGCUACUUGAUGUGGUACCUAAACCAAGAGAUUCUCUCACCUAAUGGACUAUCUUUGGGGUUGAGAUCUACUUUUGUGCUCAAGUCCUUACAAUUGAUGUUUGCAUUGAGAGCUGGGUUAUAGAGAAAGUUACCUGUGGGCUAAGGUGCAAAUUGAAUACUAAUAGAAGAGUGAAGCCAUCUUAAGAAGAAAAGACCCACCACUGGGUUAGUGUCGAAAGGAUGAAGUUACCAUGGAUGUUGGCCACUAAAGCGGGUGACAAUGUUAGAGUUUCACAUUGAGUGAGAUUAACUACUUGAUGUGAUACUUAAGCCUAUAGGUUAUCCCACCUAAUUUACCUUUUAUUUUAUUUUUACUUUAAAAAGUAUGUAAGGUAACAGUAAUUUCCUUUAUGACAACAUUCAUUUGGAGAAAACAGAUGCUCAGAAUGCAAACAACAUUCUGCAGGGAACAAAGGUAAAGACGUGUACUAGCAAUGACAUAAUAUUGUAUAAUUAGAAAGCAUGGACAAACUGGUUUGGUUUGCUACUGCAUUGUUCAGAACAAACUUAAUCUUACACCUCCAAAACAAUACAGGUAAAAAAAUUGUAAAUAUCAUUGGUUACUGGCUUCUGAAAAUUCAUAAAAUGACAAGUACAUACAUCACGUCAAAUCUUUCACAUAUGGCUACUGCCAACAAGGAUAUACAAAAUAUUUGCAAGGACAAUUAAUUAGAAACUCAAUAAAAAUCUGAUACACACGGUUUACCUGUUCAGAUAUAAAUAUUUU